This is a long non-coding RNA of Oncorhynchus tshawytscha (Chinook salmon), 1918 nucleotides long. The record is from Ensembl. NCBI's taxonomy places the organism in Eukaryota, Metazoa, Chordata, Actinopteri, Salmoniformes, Salmonidae.
AAAAUUACAAUGAAAUCCAUUUUAAUCACACACAAAAGUUGAGGGGUGUAUAUACAUUCUGUACACACUGUAUCGAUGCUUUAAAAAGUGUGAUGCGUCUUGCUGUCUUCAGAAGCCAACUCCAAUCUCUCUGUGGUUUGUGGGUGGAAGCACAUCAUGCAUCUUUUUUGAGCUAGCUCUCAUGUGUAUGACAGUUUAACUUUUGAUCGGUCUGGCAAGCUAUGGCAUGAUGGUAAACUGGCUGAUUUUUAAGAGAAAUUCCACAGAAAAACUGUUAUUCUCAAGAUGUCCCCUCCAACUGGUUAUUCUCCUAUUGACCUUGAGCACCACAACACAUUCAGGCAGGCCUGAAGUCCCAGGAGAAGGUAUAUGGGCUAUAUUAAACAAACCCAUACAGUUUUCUGGAUCCAGUAUACCUUUGAAACUAAUCAAAACAGUGGAAUGGCGUCACAAAAGUGGAAACUCCCAGACAUUCUGUCUUCUCCAUAAAAUGGAUGGGAACAUCACCAACAUAUUUCCUGCAUGCAAUGGCACUGCACACUUCCUUUCCCACAAUAAAACCUUUGUUCUAUACUCAGUGAGGGCAGAGGAUGAAGGUGUCUAUGAAGAAAGAGUGAUUUAUAAGAAUAACACUAUGGUCUCAUUAAAUAUAUCACUGUCAAUAAUUUCUCCUCCCUCCACCCUGCACAUCAGCGUAAACUUCUCCCAUGCGCUGCUAACAACGACCUGUGAGGUCAAGGGGUCAAACCUCUCCUAUUGGUGGCUGAAGGAUGACCAGCCCUUCCUCACGGAUUCCAGAUUGUUAUUGGGUGAGAGAAACCAAACCUUACAGGUGAACAACCUGACCAAGGCUGACUGUGGGAAAUACACCUGCUUGGUGGCCAACAAGGCAGGCCUGUCACGGGGCCACUUCCAACUCACAGAUAACCAAUCCUCUGUGUGUAAGGAUGGAAUUGUCCGAGCCACACUGCCGAUAGGCCAGAGAGAAGUUCUAAUCAUGGUAAUAUUGGGCAUCUGCAUAUUCGGCCUGCUCAUCAUCAUUGCCUGCAUCAGGAGAUAUCACCAGGAAAUACGGAAGCAUCUGGCAGGACUUUGCAACAAGGAGCAGCAUCCUGUCAGAAACAGGAGAGGAAGGAGAGACAGAGACACCCCUGUGUCCGAAAAUCAUGUGUAUGAUGAGAUUGGAGAUGAAGAGGAGCAGCUUGAACAAGAGGUGGUGAUCCCAUUGCCAUGCGUCUACACAGACUUCCUUCCAAACAGAAAACAAGCAGAGCCCCUAAAGGACUUUGGGUACUCCACCAUUGGGCCAGCUAGCCUAAGCGGAGUCACAGUGAUCGAGGCAAGCGAACAAGGUCUUGAAUGAUGCUGGUGGGCGGAGUUGGGAGGGUCAUCAGCUACAUGGGAAACAACUGGGCCCGGUGUCUCCCAGGAUAAAUACACCACUUCCCCAUUCAUGGAAGAGACUCUCUCCAUGCAGAUACUUUGAUAGUUUUUGUUGUGUUUCUAGCACCUUUCAACACCCUGCAUUAUCACAUUCAUGCAUGCAAAACACUCACUUACACUACUGAUUACUGAUUACACACACGAUUGUAUAUUUUCCUUAGUUGCUUUACUUAAUAAAUAUAUAUUUUGUUACUCCUUAUCUCCACGUUGUCUCCCUUUUGUUACGGGCUUUGAGCCAGUUCGUGACAGACCUGACCAAGAUAAAGCAUAGCAGUGUGAACAGACAACACCACAGAGUUACACAUGGAGUAAACAAUAAACAAGUCAUUAACAGUAGAAAAAAGAGUCUAUAUACAUUGUGUGCAAAAGGCAUGAGGAGGUAGGCAAAUAAUUACAAUUUAGCAGAUUAACACUGGAGUGAUAAAUGAUCAGAUGGUAAUGUGCAGGUAGAUACUGGUGUGCAAAAGAGCAGAAA